RNAcentral lists this microRNA precursor (80 nucleotides) under Oryza sativa (Asian cultivated rice). RNAcentral describes it as "miR11344 stem-loop (osa-MIR11344)". Lineage: Eukaryota; Viridiplantae; Streptophyta; Magnoliopsida; Poales; Poaceae. The record is from miRBase by way of RNAcentral.
GCCUAACAAAAAUUAUCUCGAGAUAUCGGUACCUCAUGGUACUGUGAGGUACCGGUACCUAAGGUACUUUUUGUUGGGCC